GGUAGUAUAGCCCAGUGGUAGAGCGCGUGAUUAGCACGCACAAGGUCCUGGGUUCAAUCCCUAGUCCUCCA
RNAcentral lists this transfer RNA (71 nucleotides) under Camelus bactrianus (Bactrian camel). It matches the Rfam family "tRNA". From Rfam's summary of the family: Transfer RNA (tRNA) molecules are approximately 80 nucleotides in length. RNAcentral also lists the same sequence under 2 other names. The record is from Rfam by way of RNAcentral. Lineage: Eukaryota; Metazoa; Chordata; Mammalia; Artiodactyla; Camelidae.